RNAcentral lists this ribosomal RNA (440 nucleotides) under uncultured bacterium. Its description in RNAcentral is "partial 16S ribosomal RNA". It matches the Rfam family "Bacterial small subunit ribosomal RNA", at positions 338 to 795 of the family's 1533-position model. The record is from RNAcentral.
CCUACGGGAGGCAGCAGUGGGGAAUAUUGCACAAUGGGGGAAACCCUGAUGCAGCAACGCCGCGUGAGUGAAGAAGUAUUUCGGUAUGUAAAGCUCUAUCUGCAGGGAAGAAAAUGACAGUACCUGACUAAGAAUCACCGGCUAACUACGUGCCAGCAGACGCCGUAAUACGGAGGGGGCAAGCGUUAUCCGGAUGUACUGGGUGUAAAGGGAGCGUAGACGGCUGCGCAAGUCAGAUGUGAAAUCCCGUGGCUCAACCGCGAGACUGCUUGUGAAACUGUGUAGCUAGAGUGCAGGAGAGGUAAGUGGAAUGCCUAGUGUAGCGGUGAAAUGCAUAGAUAUCAGGCAGAACACCGGUGGCGAAGGCGGCUUACUGGACUGUAACUGACGUUGAGGCUCGAAAGCGUGGGGAGCAAACAGGAUUAGAUACCCCUGUAGUC